UGGGGAAUCUUCCGCAAUGGACGAAAGUCUGACGGAGCAACGCCGCGUGAGUGAAGACGGCCUUCGGGUUGUAAAGCUCUGUGAUCCGGGACGAAAGAGCCUGAGGUAAAUAGCCUAAGGAAGUGACGGUACCGGAAAAGCAAGCCACGGCUAACUACGUGCCAGCAGCCGCGGUAAUACGUAGGUGGCAAGCGUUGUCCGGAAUUAUUGGGCGUAAAGCGCGCGCAGGCGGCUUCCUAAGUCCAUCUUAAAAGUGCGGGGCUUAACCCCGUGAUGGGAUGGAAACUGGGAAGCUGGAGUAUCGGAGAGGAAAGUGGAAUUCCUAGUGUAGCGGUGAAAUGCGUAGAGAUUAGGAAGAACACCGGGGGCGAAGGCGACUUUCUGGACGAAAACUGACGCUGAGGCGCGAAAGCGUGGGGAGCAAACAGG
This 429-nucleotide ribosomal RNA is filed under the name Fusobacteriota bacterium. Its description in RNAcentral is "Fusobacteria bacterium partial 16S ribosomal RNA". It matches the Rfam family "Bacterial small subunit ribosomal RNA", at positions 355 to 776 of the family's 1533-position model. The record is from RNAcentral. Lineage: Bacteria; Fusobacteriati; Fusobacteriota.